GCCAGUGUGGCUCAAUGGUUAGAGUGUUGGACUAAGACCUGGAGACCAGGGUUCAAGCCCCCACUCGGCC
Podarcis lilfordi (Lilford's wall lizard) is the source of this 70-nucleotide non-coding RNA. The record is from the annotation of a GenBank genome assembly. NCBI's taxonomy places the organism in Eukaryota, Metazoa, Chordata, Lepidosauria, Squamata, Lacertidae.